CCUACGGGAGGCUGCAGUGGGGAAUAUUGGGCAAUGGAGGAAACUCUGACCCAGCAACGCCGCGUGAAUGAUGAAGGUCCUCGGAUUGUAAAGUUCUUUUCUAAGGGAAGAAGAAAGUGACGGUACCUUAGGAAUAAGCCUCGGCUAACUACGUGCCAGCAGCCGCGGUAAUACGUAGGAGGCGAGCGUUAUCCGGAAUGACUGGGCGUAAAGGGUGCGUAGGUGGUUUGGCAAGUUAGUAGCGUAACUCCAAGGCUCAACCUUGGAACUACUACUAAAACUGUUGGACUUGAGUGCAGGAGGGGCAACCGGAAUUCCUAGUGUAGCGGUGGAAUGCGUAGAUAUUAGGAGGAACAUCAGGGGCGAAGGCGACUUACUGGACUGUAACUGACACUGAGGCACGAAAGCGUGGGGAUCAAACAGGAUUAGAUACCCUUGUAGUC
Molecule: ribosomal RNA, 443 nt
Filed under: uncultured bacterium
Lineage: Bacteria
Description: partial 16S ribosomal RNA
Rfam family: Bacterial small subunit ribosomal RNA
Source: RNAcentral